This 1118-nucleotide long non-coding RNA is filed under the name Rhagoletis pomonella (apple maggot). RNAcentral's name for it is "uncharacterized LOC118735022". Lineage: Eukaryota; Metazoa; Arthropoda; Insecta; Diptera; Tephritidae. The record is from RNAcentral.
GCAAAAUGACAUCCGCAGUUGUCGCAUUUCUCUUAUUGGAAGAAGAAAGUUCCGAGAAAGUUAAAAGAAAAAUUUUGAGAGAUUGCAGCAAUCCACUUGAGCUGCCUGAGACAGCUUUCAUAGCAUAUUAUCGCCUAAACAAAGAGGCUUUCCGAAUGGUGCUUGACACUAUUGAAGGGCACUUGACACGUUCGAAAGUUCCACCAGUGCUGCAGUUAGCACCUUCGUUGCGAUUUUUAGCUGAAGGAUCCUAUCAAAGAUCAGUCGGGAACGACUCUAGCAUAAGUGUAGCUAGAAGCACGGUGUCAACGAUUUUAGAUGAUGUGCUUAAGGUUAUGGAGCGGUUCAUUUGCCCUCAGUGGGUGAAACUAGAAAUGGACGGCACCGAAAAACGCAGAUCAAGAGACUAUUUUUACUUAAAGUACAAAAUUCCCUCAAUAAUUGGUUGCAUCGACGGGACACACAUAAAAAUCAUCAAGCCGAGUAUUGACGAACAUUUAUUUUAUAAUCGAAAUUGAUAUUUCAGUAUGAACGCCAUGAUUGCAAAUUUGUGAUGGUCACAUGAAAAUUCGAGCGGUCGAUGCACGCUAUCCCGGCUCUAGCCAUGACUCAUUCGUAUGGAACGUUAGUAGCGGCAGACAAUAUUUCCUCAAGAAGUAUGAGUCAGUUGACCGGACAUCAAAGUUGUUAGGAGAUUGUGGAUAUGGCAUAGAACCUUUUUUAUUAACACCAUACAGAGAUCCACGCUACAACUCCAAAGAAUAUAAGUUCAAUUUGGCCCAUUCAUCGCUCGAAAUAUUGUGGAGCGAACAAUAGGAGUGCUGAAAAGCCGAUUUCGCUGCUUAUUGAUCACCUUGCACUAUCGGCCAGAAAAAGUGGUGAAAAUUAUAAAUGUUUGCUGUGCGCUGCACAAUAUCUGCAGAAACUACAACGUGGAAUAUAACGACGACAGUAUUACUUUACCAUCAAAUGAUACUGAUGAAAAUGUUGAAUCUCCACCGAACGCAACACUGCAAAGUGAAGGUAAAAGGAUGAGGGAUGAAAUAGCCAACAGUUUAUAGCAAACCAACUGAAUAAAAAUUCAAAUAUUUAUUUAUUAAAAAAUAAAAAACACAUAU